ACUUGGCAUUUAAGCUUCUUGUCUUGUUCUUGCAUGGAGUAUGAAGAGAGUGUGGUGGCUGUUGCAGGAGGGGAAAAAUGACAGGUUUGACUUGCCUCUUUUGGGCAAGUCCUUGGUUUCCCUUGCUAAGAAGGAAAAUACUCAAUGAAGCGAUUGGGAGGACUCUGGUCGAGACCUGAUGAUUUAUCAGUUGUUUGAAGCUGAGUCCAUUCCGGCACCGGCAUUAUUACUAUGCUGAUGCAUCGGACUUGAAUUGCCUGUUUUCUUUCUUUUUUUCCUAAGAUGACCCUUUUCAGGUUGAGCGGGAUGUUGCGGAGGAUGUUGAGUUGGCCUUAGGAUGCGUUGUGUCUUCAUACAUAGGCGUUAUCCUUGACUCUCUUUAAACCUUAUUUCCGCUGCUAUGUUUUUUUUUGAACUAUGUUUCACUACGUCAAUCUUUUCCGUACUAUGUUUGAGUAUGUUUUGGUUGUGUCAGGCUUGAAACGAGUAUUUACAAUGUUACUUGAAAAUGAUGUCUCCCGCUCUUUAAACUAAAUGUUUUCUUAG
This is a long non-coding RNA of Salvia splendens (bonfire salvia), 546 nucleotides long. RefSeq lists it as uncharacterized. NCBI's taxonomy places the organism in Eukaryota, Viridiplantae, Streptophyta, Magnoliopsida, Lamiales, Lamiaceae. The record is from RefSeq and is a predicted model, not a curated record. The transcript is spliced from 3 exons.